UGAGGAACAUGACCUUCGGCGGGGGAUAGCCGGCCCAACGGCCGGGUAAUACCGCGUACGACCACAUGGGGACAUCCCUGAGUGGUGAAAGCAGCAAUGCGCCGAUGGAGUGCCUCGCGGCCUAUCAGCUAGUUGGUGAGGUAACGGCUCACCAAGGCGACGAUGCGUAGCCGACCUGAGAGGGUNAUCGGCCACAUUGGAACUGAGACACGGUCCAGACCUGUACCGGGGAGG
RNAcentral lists this ribosomal RNA (234 nucleotides) under uncultured bacterium. RNAcentral's name for it is "partial 16S ribosomal RNA". It matches the Rfam family "Bacterial small subunit ribosomal RNA", at positions 118 to 347 of the family's 1533-position model. The record is from RNAcentral.